Molecule: transfer RNA, 76 nt
Filed under: Candidatus Methanohalarchaeum thermophilum
Lineage: Archaea; Methanobacteriati; Methanobacteriota; Methanonatronarchaeia; Methanonatronarchaeales; Methanonatronarchaeaceae
Description: tRNA-Val
Rfam family: tRNA
About the family: Transfer RNA (tRNA) molecules are approximately 80 nucleotides in length. Their secondary structure includes four short double-helical elements and three loops (D, anti-codon, and T loops).
Source: RNAcentral
UGGGCCCGUAGUCUAGGUGGUUAUGACGUCGCCCUUACAAGGCGGAGAUCACCGGUUCGAACCCGGUCGGGCCCAU